AUAAUGUUACCCUCUGAUCCAUAUUACUUAUCUUAGAUUUGUCUAGAUACGGAUGUAUGUAGACACGUUUUAGUGUUUGAUACAUCCGUAUCUAGAGAAAUCUAAGACAAGUAAUAUGGAUCGGAGGGAGUAGUAA
This is a non-coding RNA of Triticum aestivum (bread wheat), 136 nucleotides long. NCBI's taxonomy places the organism in Eukaryota, Viridiplantae, Streptophyta, Magnoliopsida, Poales, Poaceae. The record is from Rfam.